This 1187-nucleotide long non-coding RNA is filed under the name Anser brachyrhynchus (Pink-footed goose). Its description in RNAcentral is "lncRNA (ENSABRG00000016701.1)". Lineage: Eukaryota; Metazoa; Chordata; Aves; Anseriformes; Anatidae. The record is from RNAcentral.
CCCCCAGCCAGCUUCACAUACUCAUUAUUAACCUGUCUCUCUCUGCAAUUAGGGCUCCACAUUUAAAACUCCUCUGACAGAGGCAUAACAAACCAACAUUAAGCUCGUUUAUUGUUAUUGCUCACUCAAAAUUUCUGCUUUCCAGCUAAAACACCAGCCUGGAUUCUCAGCCUCAGAAGAGCUAGACCCAAGGUCAGGAUCCCUAAUCUCAAAACCUCCUUUAACUUUACAAUCAACAAAUCCAGCAUUUGUGAAUGUUACAGAUUAUUUUCCAAGCUGUGGAGGGAGAUUUCUUUCAUAAUUGGAGAACAAGGAGAAGAAAACCUCGCACGGGAUUUGCCACCAACCUAAAUUUCCUAUUCCUCCCCCUCCGAGCAGGACACACACCUCCGUCCUCUCCCACUGUCCCACACCUUGUACUGCAGCAAACCAGUGCCUGCUGUACGUAACGGGCUAUUUAUAGGAAAGCCCCCUGUGGGUGGGGUCUGUUGUGACUUAGUGGGGUCUAUUGUAACUUAGUGGGGUCUGUCAUGACAGAGUGGGCCUAACACAUACACACACAUACACAGUUACAUGGAGGGUGGCCACCAAGAUGUGCUAGCUUUAACAGGGCCCAGCACAGCUCACUGCCGCUGGAGCUGGAGGAAAACAAGGAUGCCUUUUGGCGCUUGCUCUCUGCGUGAUCUCAGAGCGGUGAAGAUGCCGCGGGAGACACAGCCCGUGUGGAGCGUGCGAGGAGGGCUUUCUACCAGGCACCAUUCAGCCACAGCCCAUUGGUCCAGACAGGAGCGAUGCUUCUGGUUUCAGCAGGAAACAGGGGGGAGAAGACACCACACAAAUGCACAGGGCUCAACCUCCCCUCCAUGCAACCUGGCACAAGUUCUUGCGGAGAUGGGCUGUCCUGCACCAGCUGAAAACCCAAACCAUGUUGCAGGUGGCGUGAGCUUUCUCUUCUCUCAAGACAACACCAUUGCUCGAUGAUCACAAGUUGAUUGGAAAUGGAAACAAAUCCACCUGGAAAAAAAAAAUCAAACUUUUUUCCACCUCACGUGCUUUGAAACUCUCCCCUUUUCUAUGAUUUUCAUCAUUAAUUGAAGUUAUUGUUAUUUUAGGAAACCUUUUGAAACGUGCCUUUUGGUGAGAACAUGUAGGGUCUGGCCAAUAAAAGAAUUACUACCAGGAUUUCA